Molecule: RNA transcript, 4928 nt
Organism: Pectinophora gossypiella (pink bollworm)
Lineage: Eukaryota; Metazoa; Arthropoda; Insecta; Lepidoptera; Gelechiidae
Gene name: WD repeat-containing protein 26
Exons: 10
Source: RefSeq, a predicted model, not a curated record
AUUGCUAACUCACACAUAAACACAAACGCAAUCAAAUCGACGCAACAAAGAGGUAUUUUCAAUCAUCUUUUUGUCUUAUUUGGACCUACUAGAACUCAUUUUCAAAUCAAUAUUGGAUUCCUAGAAGUGUAUUGUUUGUCAUUUUGUUGCACUAUUUCCAUGACACUAUAAUCAUUUUAUUUUGAGGUCAUCCGUUUUGACACGAUUUCGACCGAACGUAGCACGAACGUCACCCGAAACGGAAAGAAGGGCGAUGUUGCACAUAGCGAAGAAAGACAGCUGUCGUUUCAUUUUCAGCUGAUUUUUGUGUACGAGUGGCGGACGUUGGGAACCCAAGUGCCAACAGGAGAAUUUCGCAUUCGAGUGACUCGAUCCGUCGAUAUCUUCCGUGGGAAGCGAUAGGGCUCGAAACAUUGAAGGACAAACUCGAGAGGACAGGACGGGAGCGUCACGAAGAACAAAGGGAGAUGGUUCACUGAGGUCGCGCGGUGGUAGAGAGCCGUGACGUCACUCGGGUGCUCGGGCGAGGCCGAUGCGGGCGCGCGCGUGAGCUCGCGGCGCGGACGGCGAGCCUCGCGGGCCAGCCUGGCCUCCACUGACUCCGGGGACGAGGGCGCAGGCCACCGGCCGCCGCGCAAGCGCUCCCGCAGGCUGUCGCCGCCGCAGCCCGCGGCCAUGCAGCAGCCGCCCGCGCCGCAUGCGCCGUCCGCCAACGGCGACUCGCAGCUGCACCUCAAUGGGGACGCUCCGCGCAACGGCGAGCUGCCGCCCGGGCUCCGCAUGGGCGCCACAGACCAGGAGAUUGUGCGCCUCAUCGGCCAGCAUCUCAUCUCGGUCGGCCUCGAACGCAGCGCCGCGCUGCUGAUGGAGGAGUCGGGGCUGGAGCUGGAGCACGCGGCGGCGGCGCGGUUCCGCGCGCACGUGCUGGCCGGGGACUGGGGCAAGGCGGACCACGACCUGCGCGCGCUGGCCGACCUGCUGCGCGACUCCAGCGUGCCGGCGCACUCGCUCGCCGAGAUGAAGUUCGUGGUGCUCGAACAGAAGUACCUGGAGCACCUGGAGGCGGGGCGGGCGCUGGACGCGCUGCACGUGCUGCGCAACGAGCUGACGCCGCUGGGGCACGACACGGCCCGCGUGCACCGGCUGUCGGCGCUCAUGAUGUGCGCGUCGGCGGGCGAGCUGCAGGCGCGCGCGCAGUGGGCGGGCGCGGGCGCGGCCGAGCGCGCCAACGUGCUGGCGCGCGUGCAGGCCGUGCUGCCGCCGCGCCUCAUGAUGCCGCCCGCGCGCCUGCGCCGCCUGCUGGCGCACGCCGCGCAGCACCAGGCCGCGCGCUGCCGCUUCCACGCGCAGCCGCGCCCCGCCGCCGACGUCGCCGAGCCCUCCAUCCCCUUCACGCUGCUGCAGGACCACCACUGCUCUGCCGACCAGUUCCCCAUACACAGUCUUCAGGUCUUGAACGAGCAUUGCGACGAGGUGUGGUACUGCAAGUGGUCCCCGGACGGGUCCAAGCUGGCGUCGGGCUCCAAGGACAACACCGUCAUGAUCUGGGACUUCGACCCCCAGGCCAAGAGGCUCUCCUUCAGGAAAUCCCUGGAGGGCCACUCGUACGGCGUGUCGUACCUGGCAUGGAGCCCAGACGGUCGCUACCUCAUCGCUGCCGGGCCCGAGGACUGCCCCGACCUCUGGAUAUGGAACAUGGAGACGGAGCAGCUGCACCUGAAGAUGACCCACUCGCAGGAAGAUUCGCUAACUGCGGCAGCCUGGCACGCCACCUCCGACCGCUUCGUGUGCGGCGGCGCACGCGGACAGUUCUACCACUGUAGCCUCGAUGGCUCCCUGACCAACAGCUGGGACGGCGUGCGCGUGAACGCGCUGGCCUGCCGCAGCGACGGGCGCUCCGCCCUCGCCGCCGACACGCACCACCGCGUGCGGCUCUACGACUUCACCGACAUCACCGACAGGAACGUCAUCCAGGAGGAGCAUGCGGUGAUGGCGAUGACCCUGAACGCGGCUGACACUCUGCUGCUGCUCAACGUGGCCAACCAGGGCGUGCAUCUCUGGGACAUACGAGCCCGAGCGCUGGUGCGUCGGUUCCGCGGGCUCAGUCAGGGCCACUUCACCAUCCACGCGUGCUUCGGUGGCGCCCACCAGGACUUUAUUGCUUCCGGCAGCGAGGACAAUAAGGUGUACAUUUGGCACAUCAACGGCGAGGAGCCUAUCGCGGUGAUCUCCGGGCACACGCGCUGCGUCAACGCCGUGUCGUGGAACCCCGUGCACCACGACGUGCUGGUGUCGGCCUCCGACGACUACUCGCUGCGGCUGUGGGGCCCGCGCCCCGCCUGCUAGUACCGUGCCUCCCCGCCGCCCCGCCGCCGCUGCUGGGCCUUAUAAGGCACCCAACUGUGGGGACCUCUAACGAGUCUAGUGCGGCACUAGAUAAUGGGGUACCUUCUUAUAGUCCUAGUGCGGCACUAAACCAUGGGAUAUCCACCCGUAAUCCUAGUGCGGCACUAAAUCAUUGGACAUCUUUCCAUAGUCCUAGUGCUGCACUAUAUCAUUGGACAUCUUUCCAUAGUCCUAGUGCUGCACUUAACUGUAGGCACCUUCCCAUAGUCCUAGUGUCGCACUAAACCAUGGAAGAUCGUAUCAUUGUCCUAGUGCAGCACUAAAUUGUAGAGGCCCCACUGGCAGACAUUGCAACAUGUUGCUACGGAGGCGCCGCCCACAAUCGUGAAGCGGAACCAUACUGUACCCCGUAACGCGGCACGUGGCAUCCCGCGCGUGCCCCCAGGCGCAGCCCACAGCUCGCUCGUCACUCGAGUUAUGCAGGAAUUCCUAAAAGUUCACUAGUCGCAUCCUCCGUCCAUUUCAUACUAGAUCGUAAAUUCGUCAGAUUGAUUCAGUGUAGUGCAGGACUUAUAUUCAUUAUAACAGCUACAGCGAGUGUGGGCAAAGCGUCUCAUAACGUCAUCGGAGACUGAUUAAAUUAUAUGACCCCCUUUAAAAUCCCGAGCGAAUAAAUUAAAUAAUCACUGUUUUUAUUGAAGAAACGAAUAUUUUCAUAACGAUGCAUAUAUUACUCUCUAUUUAAGAGCUGCGCUCUUGUCGGUGGAGUAACCGCCAUUCCUCUGUUCUUCCCGCUAAAACCUUCACUUCCCGAUACGACACGACCUGCACCUUCUCUUUUAUUUGUUCCAUAAAUGUUAUCCUAGGUCUACCCCUUCCUCUCUUCCCUUCAAUUUUUCCUUCUAUAAUGUUUGUUAUAAAUUAAUCGUGUGCAUAUAUUACUAAGAAAUUAAAUAUUUCAUUUCAUUUUCAUCAUCUCCGAUGACCUUAUUGAAAUUGACACACAUAUGGAAAUGGUUGUGUCGGUACAUAACGUUUAAAUUAUCAUGUACCUUAUAAAUCCCCGUUCUGGUAUUGUUUGGCUUACGUCGGUCCUACUUGACGUGGCCUCUCAGCAGCGUGCGGCGCGGGGCGGCAGAGACACGCCUUCCAUUCAUCACCGAGUGCAAUAUACACAUGUGCAAUGUCACAUUUCUAAAUUUCUGUGUGCAAAGUAAAGGUGGCUUCGCCAAAAUGGAAUACUAACGAUACUCCACGACGUAGAACGGAGUUAUUUAUGUAGCGAGCUGCAUCAUUCAGCCGACUUCAACCAAUAAGCGUACAGGGUUUACGUUUAACUUCCGCCGGAAGUGAAGAUACUCAACGACGUUGUGACGCCGGCUGUCCGCGGCGACGAGCACUCGCGUGUUCACGUUUUCCAGUACUUUUUGUCUAUUGUUUGCGAAGGCUUCGACGGAGAUACUUUAGACGAGAAUAAAAAGUAAUUCGGAAAGCGAUAAUCAUUAGUAUGUAUGACGAGUUUCGAUUUUUAAUUAUAGAAAUUAACGUAUGAUAUAUCUUAAGUGUCGCCGCGGUGACGGCGCCCGCUCUGGGGGUGCGUUGUCUGGAUCUACCUAGGUUAUUACUAUAAGGCUCUUCGAUUAACUUAAAUUAAGACUUAAUGAUACCGAGCAGAUAUAUUUUGUAGCGGAGAUGCUCUCGGCUCUAUUUUUGUACCGACGGUGGGUGGCCACGUCGCACGUUACGUGCGGCAUACAUAUAUGCCGUGGUUCAUAAACCACGUGCGACGUAUACGACCCACGCGAAACGUGCGGCAUAUAUGACCCACGCGGCACGUGCGGCAUAUAUGACCCACGCGGCACGGGUGACGUAUAUGACCCACGCGGCACGUGCGGCAUAUAUGACCCACGCGGCACGGGUGACGUAUAUGACCCACGCGGCACGUGAAGCAUGUACGGCCCACGCGGCACAUAUGAUCUACGCAGCACGUGCGGCGACCCCGCGUGCACUGACAGCACCAGGCGCAGGCAGCAGCCGCGCUGGCGGGCUCCGGGAAACAUCUUGUACUACGUUUGCUUCCGGUAAAAUUAUGAAAUUAUGUGCGGACGCGGUUUUGUAAGCAUUUUUCUUUUUGAUGUUAUAUUAUAUUUUUAGAUGUAAUAAUUGUAGAUUUUGUAGUUCGCACAACGCCACGCGCGCGACUUGGAUCACGCGACCGAUGUGAAUCUGGCCCUAUCUAACGCUUGCUUACCCUUCAAAAACGUGUUUGCUAAAUUCUUGUUUGUUCACUGUGCAUACUCUGAACCCGCCGUGUCGCGUGGUCGGGCGCCGCGGGGCUGGCUGCGGCUUCCCGGAGUCCAUCUCUGUACCAAAUAUCAGGCAAUAAAAUGUAGUGUGAGUGUUGUGUGCGUGUAGAAGUACAAACGAGAGAUCGGUAUAAAGCUAACGAUAACAAUAUGAUAUGAGUAACGAUAGACAUAUGUAACGAUAGUGGAGGGCGCGAGUGUGCGGGCAGCCGCCCGGUUCGAAUUGUUAUAAAUAAAUAAUUAUUAUAUAAAUAAAUUUUUUAUCCUAAACUAAAA